Molecule: ribosomal RNA, 253 nt
Filed under: uncultured bacterium
Lineage: Bacteria
Description: partial 16S ribosomal RNA
Rfam family: Bacterial small subunit ribosomal RNA
Source: RNAcentral
UACGAAGGUCCCAAGCGUUGUUCGGAAUCACUGGGCGUAAAGGGAGCGUAGGCGGCGUGGUAAGUCAGAUGUGAAAUCCCGGGGCUCAACCCCGGAACUGCAUCCGAUACUGCCAUGCUAGAGGAUUGGAGAGGUAGCUGGAAUUCUUGGUGUAGCAGUGAAAUGCGUAGAGAUCAAGAGGAACACUCGUGGCGAAAGCGACUUACUGGACUGUAACUGACGCUGAGGCAUGAAAGCGUGGGGAGCAAACAGG